Molecule: transfer RNA, 76 nt
Filed under: Paenibacillus oryzae
Lineage: Bacteria; Bacillati; Bacillota; Bacilli; Caryophanales; Paenibacillaceae
Description: tRNA-Thr
Rfam family: tRNA
About the family: Transfer RNA (tRNA) molecules are approximately 80 nucleotides in length. Their secondary structure includes four short double-helical elements and three loops (D, anti-codon, and T loops). Further hydrogen bonds mediate the characteristic L-shaped molecular structure. tRNAs have two regions of fundamental functional importance: the anti-codon, which is responsible for specific mRNA codon recognition, and the 3' end, to which the tRNAs corresponding amino acid is attached (by aminoacyl-tRNA synthetases). tRNAs cope with the degeneracy of the genetic code in two manners: having more than one tRNA (with a specific anti-codon) for a particular amino acid; and 'wobble' base-pairing, i.e. permitting non-standard base-pairing at the 3rd anti-codon position.
Source: RNAcentral
GCCGUUGUAGCUCAACUGGUAGAGCAACUGACUUGUAAUCAGUAGGUUGGGGGUUCAAGUCCUCUCGACGGCAUCA